UACGUAGGGGGCAAGCGUUGUCCGGAUUUAUUGGGCGUAAAGAGCGUGUAGGCGGCCAGGUAGGUCAGCUGUGAAAACUCGAGGCUCAACCUCGAGACGCCGGUUGAAACCAUCUGGCUAGAGUCCGGAAGAGGAGAGUGGAAUUCCCGGUGUAGCGGUGAAAUGCGCAGAUAUCGGGAGGAACACCAAUGGCGAAGGCAGCUCGCUGGGACGGUACUGACGCUGAGACGCGAAAGCGUGGGGAGCAAACAGG
RNAcentral lists this ribosomal RNA (253 nucleotides) under uncultured bacterium. RNAcentral's name for it is "partial 16S ribosomal RNA". It matches the Rfam family "Bacterial small subunit ribosomal RNA", at positions 524 to 776 of the family's 1533-position model. The record is from RNAcentral.